This 504-nucleotide ribosomal RNA is filed under the name uncultured bacterium. RNAcentral's name for it is "partial 16S ribosomal RNA". It matches the Rfam family "Bacterial small subunit ribosomal RNA", at positions 28 to 523 of the family's 1533-position model. The record is from RNAcentral.
GAUGAACGCUAGCGGCAGGCCUAAUACAUGCAAGUCGAACGGGAUCUGAGGGUAGCUUGCUACCCGAUUUGAGAGUGGCGCACGGGUGCGUAACGCGUGAGCAACCUACCCAUAUCAGGGGGAUAGCCCGAAGAAAUUCGGAUUAACACCGCAUAAUCAUACGCUAACACAUGUUAAUGUAUUUAAAUAUUUAUAGGAUAUGGAUGGGCUCGCGUGACAUUAGCUAGUUGGUAAGGUAACGGCUUACCAAGGCGACGAUGUCUAGGGGCUCUGAGAGGAGAAUCCCCCACACUGGUACUGAGACACGGACCAGACUCCUACGGGAGGCAGCAGUAAGGAAUAUUGGUCAAUGGGCGCAAGCCUGAACCAGCCAUGCCGCGUGCAGGAUGACUGCCCUAUGGGUUGUAAACUGCUUUUGUUAGGGAAUAAACCUACUUAUGUAUAAGUAGCUGAAUGUACCUAAAGAAUGAGGAUCGGCUAACUCCGUGCCAGCAGCCGCGGUAA